RNAcentral lists this long non-coding RNA (665 nucleotides) under Hordeum vulgare. Its description in RNAcentral is "long non-coding RNA (HVUL_LNC006378)". Lineage: Eukaryota; Viridiplantae; Streptophyta; Magnoliopsida; Poales; Poaceae. The record is from RNAcentral.
CAUGCUCUAGCCAAUGCAACCAAAAGACCGAUCUAAUAAAAGAGACUAGGCAGCACAUUAUACGUCAACAGUGGUGUGCUGAUGCUCAUGCUGCAGCUAGCAGCCUGCCACCAUUUACGCCACUCCACUCAUCUCUUGAAAAUUCAAUUCAGAUAGGUACUACAUAUGGCACUCACUGAUCUACGUACAACAUGCAAACAUGGCCUGCCGGGUUGCAUAUGCUGCAGGCGACUUCGAUGGGGAGAUACAUAGAUAGAUACUCUGUUUCUUGGAGGCGCCAUAGUUAUGGCUGCCAUGGAUGGAGCAUGGAUGGGCAAUGCGUGGAUAGCCUCGAUCUCUGCUGAUCUUGUUGACAAUAUCACUCCAUCCGCCAUGGAUGGACGGCGAUUGAAUGCACACCGCUACGCCAUGCCAUGCAUUUGAUUAGCGAGAAGCUUCACUUCACCACAAGCAACGUGCUACGAACGAAUGGAUGCUGAUGCAGAUGCUGCCUGGCCUUUCCUUUAUUGACGGCGUGAAGAUGGCCCUCAUGAAUGUCUCUGUCCUUCCUAGCUAGAUCUUGGAACCAGGCACUUAAAUGGCUGCAUAAAUCAGAUCCAUCCACCAGUUUAAUCCACUUCCAUUCAACCAGUACGUACAAGUUUCAACUCGAUCAAGUAGUAGUA